RNAcentral lists this long non-coding RNA (313 nucleotides) under Homo sapiens (human). RNAcentral describes it as "HSALNT0058504". The record is from RNAcentral. Lineage: Eukaryota; Metazoa; Chordata; Mammalia; Primates; Hominidae.
ACUUCUGUAGUCCAGCUACUCAGGGGGCUGAGGUCAAGGGCUGAGGUCGGAAGGAUCACUUGAGGCCUGGAGGUUGAGGCUGCAGUGAGCCGAGAUCACACCACUGCACUCUAGCCUGGGCGACAAAGCAAAACACUGUCUCUCUCUCUCUCUCUCUCUCUCUCUCUCUCUCACACACACACACACACACACACACACACAGAUGAAAAUAAGGUGCACAGAAGCUCUGAACUUGGUGACAUGCCAACAUAAAGCUGACCCACCCCAGAACCGUAAAUAAUCAUGAUAUGCAGGUGGAGUGGAGAAUCAAACU